GAAUCUUGUCAUUUUAGAUUAAGACUUAGUCAUCUAAAAUCAAAUUCCUAUACCCAUGGCUCCUCCUUUAUCCAAUUGCUUGAAAGUUGCUAGUUAGUUGUGUUAGAACCUUGUUAGUUUAAUCAAACCACUUAUUUACACUGAAAGCACUUAGAUUAAGUUUGAACCUGAAUUCUCUCUACAUUAAAACUAUUAGAAAUGGAUUGACAUCUUAAAUAUUACAUGAUUUGAACCUUGGACCCUUGAAAAGUCCAUAUCAAAUUUGGUGUCGUUGUCAAUUCUAAGUUGUUUUGACAUUGAGAUUUGGUCUAUACUUGAGACUAAGUCUUAAUUUUCUUAUAUCUAGUUACUGAUUCUCUCUUCUAGCUCUUUUGAAUGUCAGGUACAUGAACUUGAGGAGUUGAAGA
RNAcentral lists this long non-coding RNA (407 nucleotides) under Brassica napus (rape). RNAcentral describes it as "long non-coding RNA (BNAP_LNC022725)". The record is from RNAcentral. Lineage: Eukaryota; Viridiplantae; Streptophyta; Magnoliopsida; Brassicales; Brassicaceae.